Molecule: long non-coding RNA, 273 nt
Filed under: Lathyrus oleraceus (garden pea)
Lineage: Eukaryota; Viridiplantae; Streptophyta; Magnoliopsida; Fabales; Fabaceae
Description: Pisum sativum (pea) long non-coding RNA (PSAT_LNC037933)
Source: RNAcentral
AAAAGUAAAGCGAGUGCGGGAAAAUAAAUAAAGUAAAGCGAGUGCGGGAAAUAAAUAAAGUAAAGCGAGUGCGGGAAAUUAAAUAAAGUAAAGCGAGUGCGGGAAAUUAAAUAAAGUAAAGCGAGUGCAGGAAAUAAAUAAAGUAAAGCGAGUGCGGGAAAUAAAUAAAGUAAAGCGAGUGCGGGAAAUAAAUAAAGUAAAGCGAGUGUGGGAAAUAAAUAAAGUAAAGGCGAAGUAAUAAAAACCUGCUCCAAUCGGAGGGUUGAAUAAAAU